GUGGCUCAGAUGGUAAAGCGUCUGCUUGCAAUGCAGGAGACCUGGGUUUGAUCCCUGC
RNAcentral lists this transfer RNA (58 nucleotides) under Bos taurus (domestic cattle). It matches the Rfam family "tRNA", at positions 7 to 64 of the family's 71-position model. From Rfam's summary of the family: Transfer RNA (tRNA) molecules are approximately 80 nucleotides in length. Lineage: Eukaryota; Metazoa; Chordata; Mammalia; Artiodactyla; Bovidae. The record is from Rfam by way of RNAcentral.